GGGCCAGUAGCUCAGUGGUAGAGCGCUAUCCUUAUAAGAUAGAUGUCCUUGGUUCGAUCCCAAGCUGGCCCA
Molecule: transfer RNA, 72 nt
Filed under: Candidatus Gottesmanbacteria bacterium
Lineage: Bacteria; Candidatus Gottesmaniibacteriota
Description: tRNA-Ile
Rfam family: tRNA
About the family: Transfer RNA (tRNA) molecules are approximately 80 nucleotides in length. Their secondary structure includes four short double-helical elements and three loops (D, anti-codon, and T loops).
Source: RNAcentral